Long non-coding RNA from Prunus persica (peach), 953 nucleotides. RefSeq lists it as uncharacterized. The transcript has 6 exons. The record is from RefSeq and is a predicted model, not a curated record. Lineage: Eukaryota; Viridiplantae; Streptophyta; Magnoliopsida; Rosales; Rosaceae.
CAGACUCUCUCUCACUCACUCGGCCUUCUCUCUCUCUCUCUCUCUCUCUCUCUCUCUCUCACUCAUGAAACUCACGAAACGAAACCCUACACUAUUUCUCUCCCGAUCUGAGACUAACCCUCACCUCAUCGGCCGCCGUCCCUUGGCUCUCUGUCUCUCUCUCGACUCAUCCCUUGGCUCUCUCUCACUCUUCACAUCUUUAAGUCUCUUAGAGUCGCGCGAGACUCAUUCUCUUUCUCCAAACCGAACCAAACAUCAUCCAAUUUUAUUGGUUUUUGGAGCAAAUCCUUGUAAAUUCUGGAGGGCUCUGGUUCAUUCUAAGUAGUUGUGCUUAGUCUCUGUGGGUUUGGAUUAAUAGGCAAAAUUGAAGUUUCAUCUUUCUUUUUCUUGAAAAUUAUGGUGUGAGGAAGCUGGAAGCAGUGUUCGCGGUUCUGAUUGCAACAAUGGCACUGUCAUUUGCAUGGAUGUUUGGGGAAGCUAAACCCAGUGGCACCGAACUUCUUAUUGCUUGUUUAUGGAACAAAUGAAGCUUGUUUGUAACCUAACCCUUCGUUUGAUUUCAUUCACAAAAGAUGGAGUUCUAUGAAUCAAUUGAAAUGGAAAUGGGGAGUAAAACAUCCAUGACAAAUUUGAAUAAGACUCUCCCUUCUUAGUGUGAUUAAGAUAUGUUGGAAGGUUGCUUUGUGAAGGCUUUUGGAAGAAUGGAUGCAGCAGAUUUUUUGCAAGGAUAUUAUCUCUGUGUAUUUUUGUGAUGGGUUGUAAUCUUUAAUGUCAUAAGUUUAAUUUGGUUUGUGUAUUAUUUUUUGUAAUGGUUUGUAAGAGAUUAUAUUUCCUUUCCUUGGUUGGUUGGUUGAAUUGAAUGUGUGUAUGUGAGAUUUAUUUAGUUUAGAAACUUAGAUUGGAAUGAUGGAUUUUUAUAGCUUGAAUUUACAUAAUUUCAGGUUUUGAAAGAG